CAGUCGCCACGGUAAAACAGAGGGUGCGAGCGUUAAUCGGAUUUACUGGGCGUAAAGCGUGCGUAGGCGGCUUCUUAAGUCGGAUGUGAAAUCCCUGAGCUUAACUUAGGAAUUGCAUUCGAUACUGGGAAGCUAGAGUAUGGGAGAGGAUGGUAGAAUUCCAGGUGUAGCGGUGAAAUGCGUAGAGAUCUGGAGGAAUACCGAUGGCGAAGGCAGCCAUCUGGCCUAAUACUGACGAUGAGGUACGAAAGCAUGGGGAGCAAACAGGAUUAGAUACCCCCGUAGUCCCUGUCUCUUAUAC
RNAcentral lists this ribosomal RNA (301 nucleotides) under uncultured bacterium. RNAcentral describes it as "partial 16S ribosomal RNA". It matches the Rfam family "Bacterial small subunit ribosomal RNA", at positions 509 to 807 of the family's 1533-position model. The record is from RNAcentral.